CGACCGGCGCACGGGUGAGUAACACGUAUGCAAUCCACCUGUAACAGGGGGAUAACCCGGAGAAAUCCGGACUAAUACCCCAUAAUAUGGGCUCUCCGCAUGGAGGGUCCAUUAAAGAGAGCAACUUUGGUUACAGACGAGCAUGCGCUCCAUUAGCCAGUUGGCGGGGUAACGGCCCACCGAAGCGACGAUGGAUAGGGGUUCUGAGAGGAAGGUCCCCCACAUUGGAACUGAGACACGGUCCAA
Molecule: ribosomal RNA, 246 nt
Filed under: uncultured bacterium
Lineage: Bacteria
Description: partial 16S ribosomal RNA
Rfam family: Bacterial small subunit ribosomal RNA
Source: RNAcentral